Molecule: long non-coding RNA, 1264 nt
Filed under: Salmo salar (Atlantic salmon)
Lineage: Eukaryota; Metazoa; Chordata; Actinopteri; Salmoniformes; Salmonidae
Description: lncRNA (ENSSSAG00000103024.1)
Source: RNAcentral
GAACUAAAGAUGUAGUCUUAUCCUGUCCUAUAGGAACUAAAGAUGUAGUCUUAUCCUGUCCUAUAGGAACUAAAGAUGUAGUCUUAUCCUUUCUUAUAGGUACUGAGGAUGUAGUCUUAUCCUGUCCUAUAGGAACUAAAGAUGUAGUCUUAUCCUGUCCUAUAGGAACUAAAGAUGUAGUCUUAUCCUGUCCUAUAGGAACUAAAGAUGUAGUCUUAUCCUUUCCUAUAGGAACUAAAGAUGUAGUCUUAUCCUGUCCUAUAGGUACUAAGGAUGUAGUCCUAUCCUGUCCUAUAGGAAAUAAAGAUGUAGUCUUAUCCUGUCCUAUAGGAACUAAAGAUGUAGUCUUAUCCUGUCCUAUAGGAACUAAAGAUGUAGUCUUAUCCUGUCCUAUAGGAACUAAAGAUGUAGUCUUAUCCUGUCCUAUAGGAACUAAAGAUGUAGUAUUAUCCUGUCCUAUAGGAACUGAGGAUGUAGUCUUAUCCUGUCCUAUAGGAACUAAAGAUGUAGUCUUAUCCUGUCCUAUAGGUACUGAGGAUGUAGUCUUAUCCUGUCCUAUAGGAACUAAAGAUGUAGUCUUAUCCUGUCCUAUAGUUACUAAAGAUGUAGUCUUAUCCUGUCCUAUAGGAACUAAAGAUGUAGUCUUAUCCUGUCCUAUAGGAACUAAAGACGUAGUCUUAUCCUGUCCUAUAGUUACUAAAGAUGUAGUCUUAUCCUGUCCUAUAGGAACUAAAGAUGUAGUCUUAUCCUGUCCUAUAGGUACUGAGGAUGUAGUCUUAUCCUGUCCUGUAGGUACUAAAGAUGCAGUCUUAUUCUGUCCUAUAGGUACUGAGGAUGUGGUCCUAAACCUCUGUCCUGCAACAGGCCCAGUAAUACUUAACAGAGGUCUUGGUACAUGACCUAGGUGAUCACAGGUCCAAGACCAUUACUCAACACUGUUGUACCCCGUGACAGAAGGACAGAGCAGUGUUGACUCAGUUUAACCUGUGUAAGAGAAACAUCUGUGAAACAGUGUCCUGUUCAGAGCUGUAGAUGGCAUGUUUAGCCCUGUUAAUGAGCAGGUCAUUCAUUUCACAUUUAUAAAAGAGGAGAGGAGAUGGAUGGAGCAAUUUACAGGUCUAUUAGUUGUGGAGGGCUGGAGGGAUGGAGGGAUGGAGGGAUGGGGGAAUGGAGGGAUGGAGGGAUGGAGGGCUGGAGGGAUGGAGGGCUGGAAGCCUGGAGGGAUGAAGGGAUGGGGGAAUGGAGGGAUGGAGGGAUGGAGGGC